UGUCCGCCUGCUUCCUUUGCAGUAGCCCGUGAGCAGGGCCAACCCACCCGUGUUCCCUGGGAGGUUAUUCCUGGCUGAACAAGCUUUGCUCCAUGGAACUGAUCUGCUUAAGUGCACUUGCCUUCCUCGCCAUCAUUCCAGCAGGCAGGCUGCAGAGAUAACGUCCGUCUUUGUUCUGAUGUGAGACCCUUGCGUAGGUUGAGGCCGACCAACUAACCAGAACAGAGACCAGCCCAGCGCAGAAACAGAAGGUGGAUAAGGCUCAGUCCAGAAUGCAGCCGGAGCAGAACGACUUCCUGGGGAGGGACAAGCACCUUCCCGGAGCUUCUGAGCAGAGGAAAAUGGAGCCUCUCUUCCCAGAGAAUGAUGUUUGCAGCAAUGCCAAGCAGGUGCUCCUGCCCUCCACCU
Molecule: long non-coding RNA, 408 nt
Filed under: Parus major (Great Tit)
Lineage: Eukaryota; Metazoa; Chordata; Aves; Passeriformes; Paridae
Description: lncRNA (ENSPMJG00000000310.1)
Source: RNAcentral